CCUACGGGAGGCAGCAGUGAGGAAUAUUGGUCAAUGGCCGGAAGGCUGAACCAGCCAUGCCGCGUGAAGGUCAGUGCCCUAUGGGCGUUAAACUUCUUUUGUGCGGGAGCAAUAAUGGUCACGUGUGGCCAGACGAGAGUACCGUACGAAUAAGCAUCCGCUAACUCCGUGCCAGCAGCCGCGGUAAUACGGGGGAUGCAAGCGUUAUCCGGGUUUAUUGGGUUUAAAGGGUGCGUAGGCUGUGAGGUAAGUCAGCGGUGAAAUGCCCCCGCUCAACGGGGUGAAGUGCCAUUGAUACUGCCUGGCUGGAAUGCGGAUGCCGUGGGAGGAAUGUGUGGUGUAGCGGUGAAAUGCAUAGAUAUCACACAGAACACCGAUUGCGAAGGCAUCUCACGAAUCCGCGAUUGACGCUGAUGCACGAAAGCGUGGGUAUCAAACAGGAUUAGAUACCCUAGUAGUC
RNAcentral lists this ribosomal RNA (460 nucleotides) under uncultured bacterium. RNAcentral's name for it is "partial 16S ribosomal RNA". It matches the Rfam family "Bacterial small subunit ribosomal RNA", at positions 338 to 795 of the family's 1533-position model. The record is from RNAcentral.